Wyeomyia smithii (pitcher-plant mosquito) is the source of this 2304-nucleotide RNA transcript. It is a transcript of the gene named eukaryotic initiation factor 4A, with no coding region annotated. The record is from RefSeq and is a predicted model, not a curated record. The transcript has 5 exons. NCBI's taxonomy places the organism in Eukaryota, Metazoa, Arthropoda, Insecta, Diptera, Culicidae.
CUACCGUUUUACGUAGCCACUCUGCCCCUCUUACCUAUCUGCUCUACGUCGAAACUUCUUGCUGCGAAACUGACAAUAUGGCGACCUUUCGCUUGGUUUACAAAAAUCAAAUUCAGCACGUGUGUGAAGGUGCCAAACAUCAAUCGCUAAAAUAUGGGUGACAACAGACAUGAGCAAACCUACGAUGGUCCCGCCGGUAUGCAACCGGAUGGAGUUAUCGAAUCUAACUGGAACGAUAACGUCGAUAAUUUCGACGAUAUGGGUUUAAAGGAGCAGCUGCUGCGUGGAAUAUACGCGUACGGUUUUGAAAAGCCUUCAGCUAUUCAGCAACGGGCUAUCAUGCCGUGCAUCAAGGGCCACGAUGUUAUCGCCCAAGCCCAAUCCGGUACCGGUAAAACGGCUACGUUUUCCAUUGCGAUCUUGCAAAAGAUCGACACGAGCAUUCCAGAAUGCCAAGCGCUGAUUCUGGCUCCGACCCGCGAGUUGGCAACCCAGAUCCAAAAAGUCGUAAUUGCCCUAGGCGAUUACCUGAACGCUCAAUGCCACGCAUGUAUUGGUGGUACCAACGUCCGCGAUGACAUGCGCAAGUUGGAACUAGGUUGCCACAUUGUAGUUGGAACUCCGGGACGCGUGCACGAUAUGAUCACCCGCAACUUUUUGCGUACCAAUCACAUCAAGCUGUUUGUACUGGACGAAGCUGAUGAAAUGUUGUCCCGUGGUUUUAAGGAUCAGAUUCAGGAUGUUUUCCGUACGCUACCAACCGAUGUGCAGGUUAUUCUGCUGUCUGCUACCAUGCCGGCUGAAGUACUUGAAGUAUCAAAGCACUUCAUGCGCGACCCAGUAAAAAUUUUGGUUAAAAAGGAGGAACUUACGUUGGAAGGUAUUAAACAGUUCUAUAUCGACGUAAAGCAGGAAGGCUGGAAGCUCGGUACGUUGUGCGACUUGUACGAUACUCUUUCCAUCACCCAGGCUGUUAUAUUCUGUAACACGCGUCGUAAGGUCGAUCAGCUAACUGCCGAUAUGGCUGCUGAAAAUUUUACCGUGUCUUCCAUGCACGGCGAUAUGGAACAACGCGAUCGUGAUUUGAUCAUGAAGCAGUUCCGUACUGGCUCUUCGCGUGUUCUGAUUACUACGGAUCUCCUCGCUCGUGGUAUUGAUGUACAGCAGGUUUCCUUAGUUAUUAAUUAUGAUCUGCCAACGUUACGAGAAAACUAUAUUCACAGAAUUGGUCGAGGAGGCCGUUUCGGUCGUAAGGGAGUUGCUAUAAACUUUGUCACUGAAGCUGACAAGAGAGUGCUGACUGACAUUGAGAAACACUACAACACAACCAUUGAGGAGAUGCCAGCUAAUCUGGCUGACAUGCUGUAAAUCCAACAAAAAGAUCAAUUCAGCAAUCAGAAAAAAAAUAUCUACCAACAGCAACAACGUCAGCAACAGUAUCAAUAACCAUAACAGCAACUUUCAAUCGAUCGAUUACUAGCAGGCAAGCCGACCACCAGCAUAAAGACGACGACUACAGUUACGACGACCGAUAAGAAAUCUGCAAACAUUCUGUAUAUUACCAUCCGGUGUAUGCGUCGUAGUUGAGAUAAAGUUCCGAAACAAGAUUCUGCAUUGAAAUUCAGGUGUGAAAACAAAUCCUGUUCUUAGUCCCGGGAAGAUUCUGCGGGAAAAAUCUUAACCAAUAUUACAUGUGUACUAAGAAGCAAGCCAACAAUCAUCAUCGAGUUGAAUAAAAUCUAGAAGGCAACCAAACAAAAUUAGACACAAAGUUUAGUAAUCGAUAUCUUUAUCAACUUCAAAGAAAUAUCCUAUAUUCCUAACCCUUGUUUCUAAUUCCUACUCCACACAUAAAUGUAAACUCGUUUAGCGCUAGUUUAUAUCAGUUAACGCAGUUAAAAUUAUUGAUAAUAUCGGUGGUUGCCACAACUGUUUCGGGGCCUCACCUCGAGGCCUAGAUGCUACUAUUUGCAAAUACAAAUUUUGGUUUCUAAGCUUACCGGGGUGAGGACCCGAAUCUGCAUAGCGAAGCAAGUUCCAAUGCGAUAGAGAAGUCUAACGAGCUACGGAUUAAGCAACUAGCAUUAGUAAAAAUUACUUUAAGGGUCACUUCCAAACAACAAGCAGUUAAUCAGGCCACGGAACGACAGAAUUGCGUCAUAAGAAGAACCGCCAAUACGGUCCGGACGUGGUAAAUGACGUUCUUUUGUAUCCUUUUUGAAUUUAAGCUUUUUCGUUGUAAAUUUUGUUUAUUAUACAUGCGAAACAUGGAAACAUCUGCUUUAAAUAAAUCAAUACAGUCUA